UACGUAGGGUGCAAGCGUUGUCCGGAAUUAUUGGGCGUAAAGGGCUCGUAGGCGGUCCAUCACGUCGGGAGUGAAAAGCUGGGGCUUAACCCCAGUCCUGCUUCCGAUACGGGUGGACUAGAGGUAGGCAGGGGAGAACGGAAUUCCUGGUGUAGCGGUGAAAUGCGCAGAUAUCAGGAGGAACACCAAUGGCGAAGGCAGCUCGCUGGGACGGUACUGACGCUGAGACGCGAAAGCGUGGGGAGCAAACAGG
This 253-nucleotide ribosomal RNA is filed under the name uncultured bacterium. RNAcentral's name for it is "partial 16S ribosomal RNA". It matches the Rfam family "Bacterial small subunit ribosomal RNA", at positions 524 to 776 of the family's 1533-position model. The record is from RNAcentral.